This 318-nucleotide unclassified non-coding RNA is filed under the name Hevea brasiliensis (rubber tree). The record is from RNAcentral. Lineage: Eukaryota; Viridiplantae; Streptophyta; Magnoliopsida; Malpighiales; Euphorbiaceae.
CAUCAACCUCCUAAGCACAGUUGGAGUUCCCAAAAAGCCAAUUAAAUCAUGAAAACGUGAAACUAGAUACUACAUCGGAAAAAGGCAAAAACAGUAGAAAAACCUGAACAAGAUGAUCCUCAUCCAGUGAAGAUAAACUCACUAAAUCUGGAAACCGCCUCGAAAGUUUAGAUAUAAGUCCAUAUGCAGUGAGAUCAUCACUUGACCUCCCGUUCCCAACAUAAGUGUAGUUUAGCUGAAGACGUUCUGUUUCUUGUUGUUGAACAGGUCAGCGCCUGACAUCUGAUUUUCCUUGGUCAAACAUUCGUUCCUCCGUAG